Molecule: ribosomal RNA, 411 nt
Filed under: uncultured bacterium 404-11
Lineage: Bacteria; Bacillati; Actinomycetota; Actinomycetes
Description: bacterial SSU rRNA
Rfam family: Bacterial small subunit ribosomal RNA
Source: RNAcentral
GGCUUCAAGCGUUGUCCGGAUUUAUUGGGCGUAAAGAGUUCGUAGGCGGUCAAGUAAGUCGGGUGUGAAAUUUCUGGGCUUAACCCAGAGACGCCACCCGAUACUGCUUAACUUGAGUUCGAUAGGGGAGUGGGGAAUUCCUAGUGUAGCGGUGAAAUGCGCAGAUAUUGGGAGGAACACCGGCGGCGAAGGCGGCGCUCUGGACUGAAACUGACGCUGAGGAGCGAAAGCAUGGGUAGCAAACAGGAUUAGAUACCCUGGUAGUCCAUGCCGUAAACGGUGGGCACUAGGUGUGGGUUCCAACUAACGGGAUCCGCGCCGUCGCUAACGCAUUAAGUGCCCCGCCUGGGGAGUACGGUCGCAAGACUAAAACUCAAAGGAAUUGACGGGGGCCCGCACAAGCAGCGGAGC